Molecule: ribosomal RNA, 1298 nt
Filed under: Escherichia coli HVH 21 (4-4517873)
Lineage: Bacteria; Pseudomonadati; Pseudomonadota; Gammaproteobacteria; Enterobacterales; Enterobacteriaceae
Description: bacterial LSU rRNA
Rfam family: Bacterial large subunit ribosomal RNA
Source: RNAcentral
AACCGACACAGGUGGUCAGGUAGAGAAUACCAAGGCGCUUGAGAGAACUCGGGUGAAGGAACUAGGCAAAAUGGUGCCGUAACUUCGGGAGAAGGCACGCUGAUAUGUAGGUGAAGCGACUUGCUCGUGGAGCUGAAAUCAGUCGAAGAUACCAGCUGGCUGCAACUGUUUAUUAAAAACACAGCACUGUGCAAACACGAAAGUGGACGUAUACGGUGUGACGCCUGCCCGGUGCCGGAAGGUUAAUUGAUGGGGUUAGCGGCAACGCGAAGCUCUUGAUCGAAGCCCCGGUAAACGGCGGCCGUAACUAUAACGGUCCUAAGGUAGCGAAAUUCCUUGUCGGGUAAGUUCCGACCUGCACGAAUGGCGUAAUGAUGGCCAGGCUGUCUCCACCCGAGACUCAGUGAAAUUGAACUCGCUGUGAAGAUGCAGUGUACCCGCGGCAAGACGGAAAGACCCCGUGAACCUUUACUAUAGCUUGACACUGAACAUUGAGCCUUGAUGUGUAGGAUAGGUGGGAGGCUUUGAAGUGUGGACGCCAGUCUGCAUGGAGCCGACCUUGAAAUACCACCCUUUAAUGUUUGAUGUUCUAACGUUGGCCCGUAAUCCGGGUUGCGGACAGUGUCUGGUGGGUAGUUUGACUGGGGCGGUCUCCUCCUAAAGAGUAACGGAGGAGCACGAAGGUUGGCUAAUCCUGGUCGGACAUCAGGAGGUUAGUGCAAUGGCAUAAGCCAGCUUGACUGCGAGCGUGACGGCGCGAGCAGGUGCGAAAGCAGGUCAUAGUGAUCCGGUGGUUCUGAAUGGAAGGGCCAUCGCUCAACGGAUAAAAGGUACUCCGGGGAUAACAGGCUGAUACCGCCCAAGAGUUCAUAUCGACGGCGGUGUUUGGCACCUCGAUGUCGGCUCAUCACAUCCUGGGGCUGAAGUAGGUCCCAAGGGUAUGGCUGUUCGCCAUUUAAAGUGGUACGCGAGCUGGGUUUAGAACGUCGUGAGACAGUUCGGUCCCUAUCUGCCGUGGGCGCUGGAGAACUGAGGGGGGCUGCUCCUAGUACGAGAGGACCGGAGUGGACGCAUCACUGGUGUUCGGGUUGUCAUGCCAAUGGCACUGCCCGGUAGCUAAAUGCGGAAGAGAUAAGUGCUGAAAGCAUCUAAGCACGAAACUUGCCCCGAGAUGAGUUCUCCCUGACUCCUUGAGAGUCCUGAAGGAACGUUGAAGACGACGACGUUGAUAGGCCGGGUGUGUAAGCGCAGCGAUGCGUUGAGCUAACCGGUACUAAUGAACCGUGAGGCUUAACCUU